UACAGAGGGGGCGAGCGUUGUUCGGAAUUACUGGGCGUAAAGGGCGCGUAGGCGGCCCGCUAAGUCGCACGUGAAAUCCCCAGGCUCAACCUGGGAACUGCGUCCGAUACUGGCAGGCUUGAAUCCGGGAGAGGGAUGUGGAAUUCCAGGUGUAGCGGUGAAAUGCGUAGAUAUCUGGAGGAACACCGGUGGCGAAGGCAGCCUUCUGGGCCAACACUGACGCUCAUGCACGAAAGCGUGGGGAGCAAACAGG
Molecule: ribosomal RNA, 253 nt
Filed under: uncultured bacterium
Lineage: Bacteria
Description: partial 16S ribosomal RNA
Rfam family: Bacterial small subunit ribosomal RNA
Source: RNAcentral